Molecule: non-coding RNA, 72 nt
Organism: Emydomyces testavorans
Lineage: Eukaryota; Fungi; Ascomycota; Eurotiomycetes; Onygenales; Nannizziopsiaceae
Source: the annotation of a GenBank genome assembly
UCCCGUAUGGGGUAGUGGUUAACCUCGCUGUCUCUCACACAGCAGCCACGAGUUCGAUUCUCGUUACGGGAG